This 284-nucleotide long non-coding RNA is filed under the name Monodelphis domestica (gray short-tailed opossum). RNAcentral describes it as "lncRNA (ENSMODG00000044874.1)". The record is from RNAcentral. Lineage: Eukaryota; Metazoa; Chordata; Mammalia; Didelphimorphia; Didelphidae.
CCAAAUGUAAGUGAGGAAGAGUUGCACAAAGUCGUUGGUCUCAUUCUCUCUUCCAGAGUUCUCCAGUCUAGGGUUAUUACAGUCUUGUCCAACUUUUCCUGAUUCCAUUUGGGAUUUUCAUGGCAACAAUGUUGGAGUGAUUGGACAUUUUCUUCCUCAGAUCCAUUUGCAGAUGAGGAAACUGAGGCAAAAUGCUUAAAUGACUUGCUCCAGGAUCCCAUAGCUAGAGGAUUCUAUUGAGGCUAAGGUAUAUGGUUUGAUAGAAGAAGGAUCCAGAGACUUUC